Molecule: ribosomal RNA, 374 nt
Filed under: uncultured bacterium
Lineage: Bacteria
Description: bacterial SSU rRNA
Rfam family: Bacterial small subunit ribosomal RNA
Source: RNAcentral
AUUGAACGCUGGCGGCAUGCCUUACACAUGCAAGUCGAACGGCAGCACGGGAGCAAUCCUGGUGGCGAGUGGCGAACGGGUGAGUAAUAUAUCGGAACGUGCCCAGUCGUGGGGAUAACGUAGCGAAAGCUACGCUAAUACCGCAUACGAUCUAUGGAUGAAAGCGGGGGAUCGCAAGACCUCGCGCGAUUGGAGCGGCCGAUAUCAGAUUAGGUAGUUGGUGAGGUAAAGGCUCACCCAAGCCGACGAUCUGUAGCUGGUCUGAGAGGACGACCAGCCACACUGGGACUGAGACACGGCCCAGACUCCUACGGGAGGCAGCAGUGGGGAAUUUUGGACAAUGGGCGCAAGCCUGAUCCAGCAAUGCCGCGUGC